UAUGCGUGCCUCUUAAAUUCUGUUGUCUUAUUUUCUCUACAGAGGUAUCAUUUGGCCUGUAAGAAUCAGGAUAUGCAGAGCAGCAAGAAAAACAUUUAAUUGAACUAUUUUUAUCCCUCAUGUCUUUUUGGACUCAUCUUCAGUUUACCCUCUGCUGCAUCUUACAAGGUGGCGCCAAUCUGGGGAGAAGAGGGAACUACCUAGUGUCCCUACGUAGCCGUGAUUGGUGGGAAAGCUGGCAGCCGGCCCAGGUUCCCUCAGAUAUAUGCCCAGGAGUGGGAUUGCUGGAUCAUAUUUAUGGUAGCAGGCAUGAUCUCUGAUGCUGAACUGGGACACCUAGACCACAGCAUUCCUGGUGGCAGCCCCAUGACUCAGGGGGCCAGCAGUGUCCUCGUCCUGCCUCCCCAAGAAAGCCAGACUCACCAAUGUA
Molecule: long non-coding RNA, 430 nt
Organism: Camelus dromedarius (Arabian camel)
Lineage: Eukaryota; Metazoa; Chordata; Mammalia; Artiodactyla; Camelidae
Exons: 3
Source: RefSeq, a predicted model, not a curated record